GACAGAAUUUGCAAUGUCUCAUGGCUGUACGAAGAGGACAUCUGUCUAAUGAUUUGUGUUUGAGUCAAACUGUGUCAUUUAACGUAUGUGCCCAUAUGAGACAUGCUGUACCCUGGAAUAAGGCUAUUUUAAAGUG
Long non-coding RNA from Sphaeramia orbicularis (orbiculate cardinalfish), 136 nucleotides. RefSeq lists it as uncharacterized. NCBI's taxonomy places the organism in Eukaryota, Metazoa, Chordata, Actinopteri, Kurtiformes, Apogonidae. The record is from RefSeq and is a predicted model, not a curated record. The transcript has 3 exons.